AUCGAUGCCUCCUGCCCACAGCAGAUCAUUCUCCGCCGCCCUCCCAGCGAUCUGCGGCCGAUCCCUGCGGAGCUUCCCUCCCCAAUACGAUCUGACGGAGAGAGUGCCAGAUCCGGCCGGGGGAGCCGCCGUAGAGCCUCCACGUCGGUGGAGCAGCACCUCAUGCCACGGGCGCCGCCGCCACCUCCUGCCUCACGACCCUUUGCCGCGACUCCGCCCCCAAGCGCCGCUCCCGCACGCAAUCCGAACCCUAUCCCGCCAUGCUUUGCUGCCUCGCCGCUUGAGCCGCGCUGAUGGAGCCCGAGCAGGCGGUGGCCGACCCCGUCGCCGCCGCCGAGCCUGUGGACGAGGAGAAGGAGAAGGAGGAGGAGACAGAGGCGGCCGAGGACGAGGAGGACACGCUGCUGGACCGCGCGCAGCCUGAUCUCACGGGUCCCUUUGCACACGUGCAGGUACAAACCAUCCUCAUCCAAAAUCGUGUUUUCCGCUCUGAUUUGCCAUGCUAAUGUGGUUUCAGACUUGCCCAAUAUGUGAUACUGUGUUUUGCAGUUCGUCAAUGGACCAAUGCCUAAUCUCCCCAAGGUUGAUGUUUCACUGGACCCGGUGAAGGAGUUGAGCAGAGUAAUAUCUGAGCGAAAAAAUUGAGGGGCGUGCUUUGGUUGUGCUCUCAGCCAGGUUAUUUUACGAGGGUUGUGUGCACUGAACCCCAUUUCUCUGGACCAAGGGACGAUGAACAAGAUGGGAAUGAGGAGGAUGCUACUAAUCCGGAGUAGUAAUAUUGGAUUACAGGUCAUGGGUUAACUAAUACAUGCAUCAGCUUUGUAUCAUAAAGAUUUCACCAUCCCAAGGUAAUGGAAAUAAGUUCACAAGAUUCUCAUGUUGAGGUCUGUACAAAGAGAUACAAGGCAAUGUCUGUGUGCUGGAAGGAGAAACUCACUGCCAAAGCUAUAAUCCCUGAUGCUAAAGCCUGCAUGUUCAGAUCUGCAGAGUUUACUCAUAUUACUGUAUGAAUGAUUAAUACAGAGGGAGCCCUUUUGUCAGGUCAUUUAAUCAUUAAAUCAUACGUACAUUAUCUCAGGUAACUUACUACUACCUUUGUUCGAAAAUAAGUGCCGUUAACUUAGUACACCUUUGCACUAAAAUUGUACUAAAUCCGUGACACUUAUUUUGGGACAGAGGGAGUAUUUCAUUUUCUACCUGAACCAAGUUGUUAUUUCAUUUCUAAGAGGCAAAGAGUUCCUCAUGGUUAGUUUGCCACAUUUUAUAUGUCUAUCUAUGUGCAUUACUAAUUCACUAUAUGCACCUUUAGUUCCCAGUUUUGGCUCACUUUCUUGAUGCAUCUCGGAUGAGAGGAAAGGAAUGGAUAAUCUGACAAGCAAUGUUUGAGCAUACCCUUAUAUUUACGUCUGAUGAAAUGCUGCGGGUGCAAACUAAUUUAGACUGCUGCCAUGAGCAAAAGAGCAGACAUUACUUAUGAGAAAACAAUAAAAGAAUCUUCCGUGACUACAUACCACGACGAGUCAAAGACGAUGAAAGCACUACUCCAUUGGUGGUGUUAGCAAGUGGAGUCUGGAGGGAGAACAACACAAAGUAGGAAAUUGAUUCCCUCGCCCUUGCUUGCUUCAACGACCCCGUCCGUCUUGGUGGGGUCGAUUCCCCCAUCGCCCGACUCAUCUCCGACGAGUAUGGCGUCAGUGGGUACGCCCCGCCGUUCGUAUGCUUGGCGGUCCCAGAACACCCGUGACGUGUAUGAGCUUGACUAGGGCGAGCGGCUCGUGCUCGUGCUUGAGCUCGACAAGACGCACUUCGAUCUCGUCACCAACUACGAGCUGGACUGUGAGACUCCAGAGCAGGCGGGGGCGACGAAGACGAAAGUGGGGGCAGUUCGAGCUUGUCGCCGCCGGAGACCCUGGAGAGGUGCGCGAAGAGACCUGGUUAGAUUUGUUGGCCACCACUGGUAAACUGCACUAAUAACAAAUCGGAUGUCAUCUCUCAUGUUGCCGAUUCAACCCUGGACGAUGUUGCGCGGCCAUGGACGAUGUGCUGUUGGACAACGACGCGAGGCCGAGGCAGCCAAUGUGAAUGACCACUGGAAAUCAUUUACCUUUCAAUCUUGGAAGGCCCUAAGCUGAAGGAGAGCAUCAAUUGUCAUGAGAGAUAAGCAAUAUCUAUUAGACACGCAUACUAUCAGGCUAACGCAAACCACUCGGGAAUGAAGAACUUACUUCCCAACAAGGAAAGUCCAGUGAUUGGGCAACAACAUGUGGAAGGAUAAUUACUGGAUACUUUUUUUAGCGAACAACUGUGGAGCGAUUUGCUGUCUCAAAACAUGUAAGUUGUGAUGCCCUCUCUGGAAUCGAAUGACUAAUUCGUAAAACAGGAUCGGGUUCUACAAUUUUAUCAAAAUUAAUUUGGCACUACAAAAACAUUUGUCAUUUCAUCUAGGAAUAUUUUUAAAUAGUUAAUAAAUCAUACAGACUUGAUAUUUUCUUGGUCUCAUGCAACUUUGUGUUGUUUCUUAUUUUACUCAACAAUCAUUUGUGGCAAUUAUGAGUUGUUUUUCGCCAUUCGUACACUAUCCCUUAAUUUUACUACGAAUAUAUGAAAGUACACACCUAGGGGUUUGCAAAAAUUAAAAAAACUAGGACAUAAGCACGAGUCACCUUAUGAGGUGAUGAUGUAGGAGACACAAUGAGGUGAAAGAGAUGUGAUGGACAUAGAAGAGUAAACCCAUGAGGACAAAGAGAUGUGAUGCACAUAGAAGGAGGAAGCAAGGACCUCGAUCCACAUUAUUGAAGACAUAGAUAAGAACAAGAGUAUCACACUUCACACAUCAACCAAUCAAUGACACAUGUUGGUAUUGGGGCAUAUCGCCCUCCCUUGCAUUAUACCUGUUAAUAUUAAGAUGAAACACUUAGUUGGAUGCAUUUCUCUUAUAUUGUUCUAUGGCAACACCCGAGCAUUCUGCUAGAGAAGAUGCUCAGGUGUAGACAGAAUCAUAUAUUAUAUUAUUAUCAUUAGUAUCAACAUAUUUGUAAAUGUUUUCAUACUCAAUCUAUGAGGUUAGAUUCAACACGAGAUCUAAAGUUUUGCGUGAAGCCAAA
Molecule: non-coding RNA, 3104 nt
Organism: Aegilops tauschii subsp. strangulata
Lineage: Eukaryota; Viridiplantae; Streptophyta; Magnoliopsida; Poales; Poaceae
Source: RefSeq, a predicted model, not a curated record